AAGGGUAUAGCUCAGUGGUAGAGCAUUUAACUACAGCUCAAGAGGUUCCCUGGUUCAAAUCCAGGUGCCUCCU
RNAcentral lists this transfer RNA (73 nucleotides) under Pelodiscus sinensis (Chinese soft-shelled turtle). It matches the Rfam family "tRNA". From Rfam's summary of the family: Transfer RNA (tRNA) molecules are approximately 80 nucleotides in length. Their secondary structure includes four short double-helical elements and three loops (D, anti-codon, and T loops). Further hydrogen bonds mediate the characteristic L-shaped molecular structure. tRNAs have two regions of fundamental functional importance: the anti-codon, which is responsible for specific mRNA codon recognition, and the 3' end, to which the tRNAs corresponding amino acid is attached (by aminoacyl-tRNA synthetases). tRNAs cope with the degeneracy of the genetic code in two manners: having more than one tRNA (with a specific anti-codon) for a particular amino acid; and 'wobble' base-pairing, i.e. permitting non-standard base-pairing at the 3rd anti-codon position. Lineage: Eukaryota; Metazoa; Chordata; Testudines; Trionychidae. The record is from Rfam by way of RNAcentral.